UGAUCACGCCACUGCAUGCCAGCCUGAGUGACCGAGCAACAGAGUGAGACACCAUCUCUUACAGAAAGGAAAAAAAAAAAAAAAAAAGCGGGGGGAGGGAGAGAGAGAUACACAUUAGUCUAAAGUGGAUUUUGUUGGGUCUUCUUAUCUAAGCUGGAAAUACAUUAUGCAUAAUUCACUUUCCUGCAGCGUUCUGGAUUAGAGUCAGCCACCAGAGGCGUGCAUGCAUUACGAUUUGGAAGGCAGAAGUACACCGGCACUUAUUUUCCUGUCACACUCGAAUGCUGGUGCGAGGCACCAGGCAUACUGCGGCUGUUCAAGCAUAUUGACGCCGAUAUUCUGACUCCUUGUGGAAAUGGAGCCGCAUCCUGCCUUGCAGAGCAUCAGCCAGAUCUUGUUUUUUUACUUUCUCGGAAUCAUGCAGGCAGGGCUAGGCGUAUGUUUAGCUCUAUGGCAAGAGCCUCCAGCUUCUCCUGCAUAUCUCAAACCUCAUCAAAAGCUGGCAGCUUGGAGGUAGUGAGACACAGAGGAGAGAUCCAGUUCAUCAAGGUGAGUUCCAGUUUGUCUUUGCUAUCUUCUAAUUCGUGUCUGCCAUUCCUUCCCCACUGCUUGGCCUGCUGAUUUCAGGUCUAGUCUCAGAUGCAGACACCACAGCCAUACACACACUGUAUAACCAGUUUCCAAAAUUACCUGAGGUCAAAUCCUUGUAAUAAAUCAGUUAUUCUGCAACUCUCCCAGUUAGUGAUACUACUUCUUUAAUUACUUACUAUUUUGGGGGCAGUUAGUUAAUUAGCUCAAAAGAAAAUAUUUUAUAGACAUAAUCACACCAUUAAAAUAAACUAUAUUAAAAUAUUUCAGAUUACUUAUUUAUGAAUGGUUAAAUUCUUUGUAAGUUUAAAGUGCAAGCAAACACUUAUACAGAUAAACCAAUUAAAAUUUAAAUGUAAAAAUUAAAACUUGCGAACAUUUAAAUAUCAUAAAUACAAAUGCCAGCAACAGACCACAAAAAUAUUAGGAUCUUAUCUGACAGACAUUAAUGCUUUUAGUAUGCAAGCUCGAUUUGUAAAUUAAUACAAAAUAUGAGUAUCAUUGGCUAUACUUAUUAGGAAAAGCAAAAAUAAGUUAACCUUUAAUAAAUAUAAUUUCAUACGUUAACUUCAUUCACUCUGACAAAAUUGCAAAUUAAAAUUUUUUGCCAAUCAAUUAAGAAAGGAUUAGGGUUCGAGACAAAUGGUUUCAUUUAUUGUAGAUAAAGUAGUAGUAAAAUAUAGUCAUGUGUUGCUUAACGGCAGGGAUGUGUUCUGACAAAUGCGUCAUUAGGUGAUUUCAUCAUUUGCAACAUAACGGAGUGUACUUACACAAACCUGGAGGAUAUAAGCUUACUGCACACCUGGGCUAUAUGAUGUAGCCGAUUGCUCUAGGCUACAAACCUAUACAGCACCUUAUUGUGCUGAAGAUUGCGGGCAGUUUUAGCGCAAUGAUAAGUAUUUGUGUACUCAAAAUGUAUCUAAACAUAGUAAACAUACAGUGUAGAAGAUAAAAACUGGUAUCCCUGUAGAGAGUACUUAUUACAAAUGGAGCUUGCGGGACUGGACGUUGCUCUAGGUAAGUCAGUGAGAGAGUGGUGAGUGAAUGUGAAGGCUUAGAACAUUACUUUUCACCGCUGUAGACUGAAUUAACACUGCAUACCUAGGCUUCCCUACAUUUAUUUUUAAAAAUUCGUGUUUCACUAAUGAAUUCACCUUAGCUUACCGUAACCUGUUUACUAUGUAACUUUUAAUUUUUCUGAUCUUUUUGACUCUUUUGUAAUAACUUAGUUUAAACCAUACAUUGUACAGCUAUACAAAAAUAUUUUUCUUUAUACCCUAAUUCUGUAAGAUUUUUAAUUUUUUUUUUCACUUCUUAAAUUUUCUUAGUAAAAACUGAAACACAGACACACCUUAGCCUAAGCCGACACGGAAGCAGGAUCAUCAAUGUCCCUGUCUUCCAUCUCCACAUCUUGUCCCACUGAAAAGUCUUCAAGGGCAAUAACACCCAUGGAGCUGUCAUUUCUUGUGAUAACAAUGUCUUCUUCUGGAAUACCUCCUGAAGGACCCGCCUGAGACGUUUUCACAGUUAACCUUUUUUUUUCAACAAGUAGAAGGUGUACAUUGUGAAAUAAUGAUAAAAUAUAUAGUAUAGCUAAUACAUACAUCAGUAAUAGGCAUUUAUUAUUAUUUACCAUACAUAAUGGUAAACGUGUGAUAGUUUUAUACAACUGACAGCUCAUAGUUUUGUAUACACCAGCAUCAUCACACAUGAAUAAUGUAUCAUGUGGUAACAUGACGAUGGCUAUGAAGUCACUAGGCAAAAGGAAUUUCUCAGCCCCAUUAUAAUGUUAUGGAACCAUUGUUAGAAAGGGUCGUUCAUGAUCAACACGUCCUUAUGCUACACAUGACUGUAGUUUAACUUAACACCAGAUAUAGGAAAGAACAUGAGCAACAACUGGCCUCAAUAAAUUAACACAUUUCUAUGAUGUGCAAACCAGUGGACUCAAAAGUUAGCACGUAUAUAACAUGUCAAUGUUACCACUGUGAAGAAUGAGAGUUGGAGCCUAAAAAGCAUCUCAGAAUGGCCCUCUAUCUCCUGAUCACUGCAUUCUCACUCCAUCCAAGAUACCACUCCCCUAACUUCUAACAUCAUAGGUUAGUUUUCUCUUUUGGAUAACUUUACAUAAAUGUAAAAAACUCAUUACUGGAACAAAAGAAGAAUGAAAGAUUCUUUAUUGGGGAAAGUUGUAGGGUUCAACAAAUCACUGCUAAAUUUUGGAAGGAAGUUCAAUUAUUUUUACGUUUGUUUAGGCCAAAAUUGUCUCCUUCAUGAUUUAUGGGAGACAAUCCUGGCAAUCAUUGUAGUACAUUUAACAAUGAUUAAGUAGAUUUAAAUUUCUUUUCUCUUACAAGCACUUUUGGUUGUUUCCAAGGGUAUUGGAGGCCAACAUCCACAGGAAAUGUAUCCAUCUGUUUAAGCACACGUGCCCGGCAGCUAAACUUACAGAAUGACCACUCAGCCCCCCUCAAGAUAUGUAUGGGAUAUUUUUCUUUUCAAGAAAAAAUUCAGACUUCUAAAAUAUCUUGGUGAUCAAUUUUUUGUGUCAACUUGACUGUGCUAAGGGAUGACCAGGUAGCCUGCAAAACAUUAUUUCUGGGCUUGUCUGAGAGGGAAUUUCUGGAGGAAAUUAGUAUUUGAGUUAUUAGGCUCUAUCUGAAAGACCUGCCCUCACCAAGGUGAGUGAACAUCAUCGAACAUUAAAUAGAACAAAAAGGCAGAGGUAGGGCUCAUUUUUUCUUUUUCUUCUUGAGCUGGAAGAUCCAUCUUCUCCUGCCCUUGGACAUAACUUCUGGUUCUUGGGCCUUUGGGCUCAGGGUUUACACCAGCAGCCUCCCAUCCCCACACCUAUCUCCUGUUGGUUCUAGCAUCUUCAGCCUUGAUCUGGGCAUCAUUAGCUCCUCGGGUUCUCAGGCCUUUUAACUCAGA
Molecule: long non-coding RNA, 3516 nt
Filed under: Callithrix jacchus (white-tufted-ear marmoset)
Lineage: Eukaryota; Metazoa; Chordata; Mammalia; Primates; Cebidae
Description: lncRNA (ENSCJAG00000070415.1)
Source: RNAcentral